AAUCCUCAUCAGCCCAUCACCACCAUACACAUUCAUGAGAAAAUCGAACUUGUUCAUAUUUUCCCCGAAGCCAUGAGCAGCCUCACUAACACCACCACAACCUUCCUCCAAUCCCACAUCGUCGCCAAACCCCAAAAUUUCCGUCACAAAAUCUCACUCCCGGUAAUCAGAGCCUCAUUUCCAGGAGAAAACGAUCAAGAAAAUAACGCCGCGAGUCGAAGAAAAAUUGUGACAACAUUCUUGGCCACUACAUUGGCACUUGGGGCGCAUCAACACGGGGUUGCCACCCCGCUCGGGCUAGCUGAAAAUUGGGGUGUUCGUUCGUUUAUAAGGGAACGUUUUUUCGAGCCCGGACUUUCGCCCGAAGAUGCCGUUGCUAGGAUAAGGCAAACAGCUGAAGGGCUACAUAGCAUGAGGGACAUGUUGGAGGCCAUGGCUUGGAGGUACGUCAUAUUUUACAUCCGUCUGAAGUCGGCCUAUCUAUCCCAAGAUUUGAAAAAUGCCGUGACCUUGGUGCCAGAAGGUCGCCGGAACGAGUAUGCUAAGACGGCCAAUGAAUUGGUGGAUAACAUGGCAGAGCUUGACUAUUACGUUCGAACGCCAAAAGUGUAUGAAUCGUACUUAUACUACGAGAAGACAUUGAAAUCGUUGGAUGAUUUGGUUGCGCUGUUGGCCUAGUUUUAAGAUGGUUGGACAUCUUUUGUUUGAAACUGGAUUGAACCAAAUAUGUUUGGAUGAUCGUCAAGGAACCGAUGAGACCUUGAUGCAGUGUGUUGUGUUGGAGAUUAAUUCGGCUCAAGGCGAGUUGCGGAGUUAUGACUCAAUGGUUGCUUGGUACAUGAUCCAUCUCUUUUGGAUCCAAGCUCAGUAAGAAUGGUCAGCCUAAGAGUAAGAAGGCGGUUCCUUAGAUUGAACAACACCACAAGUAAUUUCACUGGUCUUCUGUUUUAAUUGUAUAUAUACAUACUCUCAUCAAAGCAUUCUUCUCUUCAUCAUGCUAUUGAACUUUAAGAAUUUCA
This is an RNA transcript of Malus domestica (apple), 1019 nucleotides long. It is a transcript of the gene named photosynthetic NDH subunit of lumenal location 2, chloroplastic, with no coding region annotated. Lineage: Eukaryota; Viridiplantae; Streptophyta; Magnoliopsida; Rosales; Rosaceae. The record is from RefSeq and is a predicted model, not a curated record.